Rhipicephalus sanguineus (brown dog tick) is the source of this 1225-nucleotide long non-coding RNA. RefSeq lists it as uncharacterized. The record is from RefSeq and is a predicted model, not a curated record. Lineage: Eukaryota; Metazoa; Arthropoda; Arachnida; Ixodida; Ixodidae. The transcript has 3 exons.
CAGGGUCUUGCCAAACUCCGAGGGCAGCAGAGCGGCACCCGAGGCGGCCAGAUUUCGGAUUACCGCGGCCGCGUCGUGCUUGACAGGGACGAGUGUGCGAGGCCCAUAGUUCGUGUGGUCUGAAUCGGUGAGCCCUGCUCCAGCUGCUACUGGUGUGGCUGAAGAGGAUGUGGCCCAGGAUCUUUCCCGUGCCCCAACUCGUAAGUUUCGCUGAUGUUUUUGAUUAACUGUAGAUGGUGUUACAUGCUCACAGGUGAUGCUCAUGCGUGCAGGCAUAUGUUUGUGAAGAGAUGACAUCUGUGGGCAUAAAGACAAAAGGCUGCACAAAAAAAAUUUGGCAAACGGUUGCAGGAGCUAGUUGUAUGCAUAACUGUCAGAUGGAAUAAACAGGUGUCCUGCCUUGCAGUUAUGGUGAAAUGUAGCAAAAAGGUAGCAUUGCAAAAAUGUUCAACAUCUUGAAAUGUUUCCCUGUUUUGUCAAUUGCUUCAAAAGUGAAACUGAAAAUGUGCUAUUGCUAAAUAUACUGUUCAAAAAGCAAGCUCGUUAUAUAACUUUUUCACAUACCAUCAUACACAAAUGCACAUGUUUGCACCUGUGUUACACCUGCUUGCUGUAUGUUUUGCAUACUGCAGCAGCUAGGGUUUCGGAAGGAGAUUGUGUCAGUCAUCGCGUAAAGCCGGGCAAACGAUUGUGUAGCCCUGAAAAGGGCUGUUUGGUUGCUUCUCAUGCAGAGAUGGUUAGAGGCGUGAGAUGCGUUUGAUGAGAUGAGCGAAAAUGAAUUCCGGCACCGCUUUGGUCUGUCCAAACGAAGUGCGUUGAGAGAGAGAGAGAGAUACGAAGAGGAAAGGCAGGGAGGUUAACCAAGCUUUGGCUCGGUUGGCUACCCUGCACUUGGGGUGCGGUUGUGCGGUGAACCAAGCACCAUUCAUGGAUGCCGUUGGGUCAGUGGAUUUUCAACAGAGAGGAAAUUGUUGCACACACUGAAACUCUUCACGAACAGAAGCUUCCAGCGAAGAGUCGGUAGCAGGAAAUUUAUAGAUGAUAAUGGCAACACAUUUCUUGGUUUCCAGCUCGUGCCGCAGCUGCGAGAUGGGGGCAACCGGCAGGCCGAGGCGCUGGAGUUACUAGCCGCAAACACCAGGCGGCAGGGCCAGGCAUCAUUGGAAAGCUGCGCCAGGUUCAACUUCUCGGUGACGCGGUCCACAAAUUGCAAGGCGUUGGUACC